RNAcentral lists this ribosomal RNA (515 nucleotides) under uncultured bacterium. RNAcentral describes it as "partial 16S ribosomal RNA". It matches the Rfam family "Bacterial small subunit ribosomal RNA", at positions 28 to 523 of the family's 1533-position model. The record is from RNAcentral.
GAUGAACGCUGGCGGCGUGCCUAAUACAUGCAAGUCGAGCGAAUGGAUUAAGAGCUUGCUCUUAUGAAGUUAGCGGCGGACGGGUGAGUAACACGUGGGUAACCUGCCCAUAAGACUGGGAUAACUCCGGGAAACCGGGGCUAAUACCGGAUAACAUUUUGAACCGCAUGGUCCGAAAUUGAAAGGCGGCUUCGGCUGUCACUUAUGGAUGGACCCGCGUCGCAUUAGCUAGUUGGUGAGGUAACGGCUCACCAAGGCAACGAUGCGUAGCCGACCUGAGAGGGGGAUCGGCCACCCUGGGACUGAGACACGGCCCAGACUCCAACGGGAGGCAGCAGUAGGGAAUCUUCCGCAAUGGACGAAAGUCUGACGUAGCAACGCCGCGUGAGUGAUGAAGGCUUUCGGGUCGUAAAACUCUGUUGUUAGGGAAGAACAAGUGCUAGUUGAAUAAGCUGGCACCUUGACGGUACCUAACCAGAAAGCCACGGCUAACUACGUGCCAGCAGCCGCCGUAA